GAGAGAGAGCAGGCAGGAGAGGGAGACUCACAUGAGCAUUGGUAUAAAAACAACAUGUAGGGCUCUGUCAGUGCUGUCUAUAGGUUGGAGUGGAGCAGAAGAAGGAGACUCACAGGAGGAAUAGUGGAGAUAUACUUAAAGACCUGGAGCUCAGAAAGCAGAUCGGAAUGGACCACAUGGAAAAAAAGGGAAUCACACACCUCAGCAUUGACUGGAUAGUCAG
This 223-nucleotide long non-coding RNA is filed under the name Danio rerio (zebrafish). RNAcentral's name for it is "lncRNA (ENSDARG00000117586.1)". Lineage: Eukaryota; Metazoa; Chordata; Actinopteri; Cypriniformes; Danionidae. The record is from RNAcentral.